GACGAACGCUGGCGGCGUGCUUAACACAUGCAAGUCGAACGGAAAGGCCCUGCUUUUGUGGGGUGCUCGAGUGGCGAACGGGUGAGUAACACGUGAGUAACCUGCCCUUGACUUUGGGAUAACUUCAGGAAACUGGGGCUAAUACCGGAUAGGAGCUCCUGCUGCAUGGUGGGGGUUGGAAAGUUUCGGCGGUGGGGGAUGGACUCGCGGCUUCGCAGCUUGUUGGUGGGGUAGUGGCUUACCAAGGCUUUGACGGGUAGCCCGCCUGAGAGGGUGACCGGCCACAUUGGGACUGAGAUACGGCCCAGACUCCUACGGGAGGCAGCAGUGGGGAAUAUUGCACAAUGGGCGGAAGCCUGAUGCAGCAACGCCGCGUGCGGGAUGACGGCCUUCGGGUUGUAAACCGCUUUCGCCUGUGACGAAGCGUGAGUGACGGUAAUGGGUAAAGAAGCACCGGCUAACUACGUG
This 468-nucleotide ribosomal RNA is filed under the name uncultured bacterium. Its description in RNAcentral is "partial 16S ribosomal RNA". It matches the Rfam family "Bacterial small subunit ribosomal RNA", at positions 28 to 507 of the family's 1533-position model. The record is from RNAcentral.